GAUGAAGAACGCAGCGAAAUGCGAUACGUAAUGUGAAUUGCAGAAUUCAGUGAAUCAUCGAGUCUUUGAACGCACAUUGCGCCCCCUGGUAUUCCGAGGGGCAUGCCUGUUCGAGCGUCAUUAUAACCCUUCAAGCUCAGCUUGGUGUUGGGGCCUGCUGUAACUGGUAGCCCUUAAAAUCAGUGGCAGUGCUAUUAGGCUCUAAGCGUAGUAAUUCUUCUCGCUAUAGUGUGUAGUGAGCGCUUGCCAGAACCCCAAACUUUUAUAUGAUUGACCUCGGAUCAGGUAGGGAUACCCGCUGAACUUAAGCAUAUCAAUAAGCGGAGGA
RNAcentral lists this unclassified non-coding RNA (328 nucleotides) under soil metagenome. Its description in RNAcentral is "partial contains 5.8S ribosomal RNA, internal transcribed spacer 2, and large subunit ribosomal RNA". The stretch from base 1 to 120 matches the Rfam family "5.8S ribosomal RNA", at positions 35 to 154 of the family's 154-position model. The record is from RNAcentral.